UUCGAAGCAUGCCGGGAACUGUAGUUCAGCUGCUCCCAUUGCACCAUAGCACUCGCACACACUUCUCCUACAAGCGAGACAACAACUUCCAGAAUGAAUUGCGAGCUGAUGUUGCUGCAUUUUCUUUCCCGUUUCCCCUCACAGAGGAAAGAACGGGGGAUUUUAUUCCUAGAGGGACUUUCCAUAAAGCCCAAAGGGAAAGUUUGGCUGGGAGUGGAGUGUAUCUUCCGUUGCGCUGCAGAGGGUGGAUUUUGGGGAAAGAUAAGUUGUUCCUGAGGCGGUUUCCACGUGGUUUGACCUAGAAAGCUUUAAACAGCUCGGGACUGCAAGACCUCAAGGACCACCCUUCCCCAUAUUAACUGACCCGGACCCUGAAAUCAUCCUCUCAGGUCUUUCUUCACAUGCCUCCUCCAUGAGGGUGACAACACAAGAAUGAGCCUUUUCUGCCAUGGCUCCUGAUGAGUGGAAUGCUCUCCUCAGGGAGGUUCACCUGCCGCCUUCAUUAUACACCUUUAAGGGCUUUAGACGUUCCUCUUUAAUUAGGCCUUUGACAUCCAACGACCUUUUAAAAUAUAUUAGGGUGGGGAAUAUUGGGUUGUUUCUAUUUUUAUUAUGUCUUUUGUGAUUUUAUAUUGUGAUUUUAUGUAUACCUGCCAGUAUAUUAUUCAUCUCUACCCUGGACUGCUUAGGGCAAAUGGGAAUAUUAGAAUGUAAGAAUAUUGAUGUAACAUUAUCUAGAGUCUCUGUAAUAACCUAAUGAACUCAAUUCUGGAGCAUAGGGCUACAAAUACGAAAGCACGGCAGCCUUCCUCAUUGCAAAAUGUCUAGUAAACCUUUCACAUCCGUUCUUGCCAUAUACCUGAGCGGGGAAGCAGAUCAAGAGUUUGGAAUGCAUGGUGCAUGAGGAAAAGCUGGAGCCACUGGCCAUAUUUGGCCAAGGAAGAGAUGAUUAAGACGAUGACAGAAGCUUUCAGAUAUCUAAGAAGCUAAACAAGAAAAGGAAUAACGUCAGUUUUCCAAGCCUAGCAACUAAUUUCUGUGGGAAAUUGUCGUAAUGGAAUCUCAGCUGGUAUCACAAGCAAAAGUUUCAUUUGCACGGCUAUGGGAUUUGUUGUUUUUAAUGUUCCAUAAAGACUCAGCCUUGUCCAUUCAUAUUUUACUCUGAUAGUCUGAUUCUGUGCAUGUUCACUCAAACAUCAAACAUUCUCACUGCUGUUGCAGUUUAUAAGAAUAUUCUUCCUUUUUCCUUUGAAAACUGUGGUCCCAAUAUCCCCGAGAGGAAGGCUUCUAGUUCUUUUGUAAAAGUUUGUUUGAAGAAAAAUUUAUUUCUUUGUAUAUCAUAUCCCAGAAUUUUUUAAUUUUAUUGCAGCCCCACCACAUAUGAAUCAUUGUCCCUUCAGCUUGUUUACACCUCCAGCAUGUAUUUGAGCAUGUUCUGUACAUCUUUGCUAACUUGCUGGGAGUUAUAUACCACCUGUAGAACUUUUCAUAUGAUUUUUCCUAAGUGUAUAACAGGCUGUGAAUUUCCAAUCUGUAUUCUAUAGUCUUUCCUAUGCUGACAUUGGUAUAUUUCCCCCCCAAAUCAAUUGCCCACUUAGUCCUGACUUCUUUGACUUCCUCGUCUUUAACCUCCCAUUCAAGUAGGAGUUUGUACAUUUUGGAGAUUACUGUACUUUUGUCUUACUAUACAGUAUAUUAAUUCUUUUGCCAAUUCUCACACCUGUAUUUUUCUUUAGCUUGUGCGUAAUACUGUGGGGUUUGUUGAGUUUGGAGCAGAGAUGCUGUUGCACAGAAAAACUGGAAUACCUCAAUUGUGCAGCUCUUUUUGUUGUUGUUAAAGUGUUUUCUUGCAAGGAAGUCACACAACUGGUGUCUGUUGGUUUUGCUUUAUUGAGAAAGAGCUUACAAGAGAAUCUGGGGAACGGUGGGUAGCCCUGUACCAUUUCACUAAACACGCCCUGCCCUACAAUGAGGAAUGUGGGGAAUGUGAUGCUUUUCAUUAAAAUGUGGGUGAAGAGUACAGGAGUGAAGCUCUCAAAUCAAGUAGCUCUUGAAGUUUGAACAGCCCUUGUAAAAAUGCCUUGCCAUUGUUUGUGUGGACACAGCCACCAAUCCUACAAAAAAGAAGCCCAAACCUUUGGCGUCGCCUCUUCAAGGAAGGAGCUAUAGCUUCGCAACCCACAAUAACACAUCCUGCCUCCUGCCUGAACCACUGUUAAGAAUCAGAAGGUAUUCCUGUUACUCCUGUUUGCACAGAAAUGGAAUUAUGGUUGGAAGACUGUCGCCACUUCACUGUCCACAACAUGGAGACUGGGCACUGUUGGUCUUAAACCUCCAGAGGCAUAAAAUGCAAGACUCGCUAUGUUUUCUCAGGCAGAAACCAGCCAGACUUUAAGAAUUUAUAGUCAGAGGCUAUUGCACAAUGUAGUGACAGUAAACGACAAAAGAUGAAUUCUUUUUUACCUCACACUCAGACUCAAAAUUAUAAAGCAACACAGGCUGCAUACACACUCUACAUUUAAAGCACAUCACCUCCCCUCAAAGAAUCCUGGGACCUGUAGUUCACUCCCUCAGAACUGCAAUUCCCAGGACCUUUAAACUACAUUUCCUGGUAUUCUGGGGGAAGUCAUGUGUGUUAAGUGCAUUGUGCAUAUGCAGCCACAGAAGGGAAUAUCAACUCUAUCGCUACAAAUAUUACGUUGGCCUGAAAUCCUUUAAACUGUGUGGCCAUCUCGGAUAAAAAGCACACACAUUAAUAGCACACAAUGGGGUGGAAACCUGUGGCACUUGCUGAACUAUUACUCUCAUAAUCCCUGCCCAUUGGGAUUGGGACCAUUGGUGGGAUUUGGAGUCCAGAAAUAUCUGGAGGGCUACAGGUUCCCCGCCAUCUCACAUGACAGACAUAUAGUUUAUAUUCCUCACUAAGCAUUAGGUUGCUCCAGAGCAAGAUCAUGGAGCUGUACAACUAUGCUACAAGUUCCGAAGUGAUGCCACAGUGGGUUUGCCAGCCUUCAUGUCACAUUUGCAGACAUCUUUGGAACUCAGAGUUGGUCUGCCAACAGGCCGGGUGCCAGAAGCCAGCUCCCC
Podarcis muralis (Common wall lizard) is the source of this 3087-nucleotide long non-coding RNA. RefSeq lists it as uncharacterized. Lineage: Eukaryota; Metazoa; Chordata; Lepidosauria; Squamata; Lacertidae. The record is from RefSeq and is a predicted model, not a curated record.